AAGGGUAUAGCUCAGUGGUAGAGUGCUUGCCUAGCAUGCAUGAGGUCCUGGGUUCAAUCCCCAGUGCCCCCA
RNAcentral lists this transfer RNA (72 nucleotides) under Camelus bactrianus (Bactrian camel). It matches the Rfam family "tRNA". Rfam says of the family: Transfer RNA (tRNA) molecules are approximately 80 nucleotides in length. Their secondary structure includes four short double-helical elements and three loops (D, anti-codon, and T loops). RNAcentral also lists the same sequence under 2 other names. The record is from Rfam by way of RNAcentral. Lineage: Eukaryota; Metazoa; Chordata; Mammalia; Artiodactyla; Camelidae.